UGGAGGAGUGAUUUGUCCGAUUAAUUCUGUUAACGAACAAGACCCCUGCAUGCUAAAUAGUCUGGUGAGUAUUUUAAACUGUUCGCGGCUUCUUAGAGGGAUGUGCAUUUCAACUAGUUUCAGGAAGAUGGGGCAAUAACA
RNAcentral lists this ribosomal RNA (141 nucleotides) under uncultured eukaryote. RNAcentral's name for it is "partial 18S ribosomal RNA". It matches the Rfam family "Eukaryotic small subunit ribosomal RNA", at positions 1299 to 1458 of the family's 1831-position model. The record is from RNAcentral.